UCUGAUGGAGCACGCCGCGUGAGUGAAGAAGGGUUUCGGCUCGUAAAACUCUGUUGUUAGAGAAGAACAGCCGUGAGAGCAACUGCUCACGGUAUGACGGUAUCUAACCAGAAAGUCACGGCUAACUACGUGCCAGCAGCCGCGGUAAUACGUAGGUGGCAAACGUUGUCCGGAUUUAUUGGGCGUAAAGGGAGCGCAGGCGGUUUAUUAAGUCUGAUGUGAAAGCCUUCGGCUUAACCGGAGAAGUGCAUCGGAAACUGAUAAACUUGAGUGCAGAAAAGGAUAGUGGAACUUCAUGUGUAGCGGUGAAAUGCGUAGAUAUAUGAAGGAACACCAGUGGCGAAGGCGGCUAUCUGGUCUGUAACUGACGCUGAGGCUCGAAAGCAUGGGUAGCAAACAGGAUUAGAUACCCUGGUAGUCCAUGCCGUAAACGAUGAAUGCUAGGUGUUGGAAGGUUUCCGCCUUUCAGUGCCGCAGCUAACGCAUUAAGCAUUCCGCCUGGGGAGUACGACCGCAAGGUUGAAACUCAAAGGAAUUGACGGGGACCCGCACAAGCGGUGGAGCAUGUGGUUUAAUUCGAUGCUACGCGAAGAACCUUACCAGGACUUGACAUCUUCUGCCAAUCUAAGAGAUUAG
RNAcentral lists this ribosomal RNA (636 nucleotides) under Fructilactobacillus sanfranciscensis. Its description in RNAcentral is "bacterial SSU rRNA". It matches the Rfam family "Bacterial small subunit ribosomal RNA", at positions 382 to 1010 of the family's 1533-position model. The record is from RNAcentral. Lineage: Bacteria; Bacillati; Bacillota; Bacilli; Lactobacillales; Lactobacillaceae.